GGGAGUAUAGCUCAAUCGGUAGAGCAGCAGACUUUUAAUCUGACGGUUGAGGGUUCAAGUCCCUCUACUCCCACCU
Molecule: transfer RNA, 76 nt
Filed under: Sphingobacteriaceae bacterium
Lineage: Bacteria; Pseudomonadati; Bacteroidota; Sphingobacteriia; Sphingobacteriales; Sphingobacteriaceae
Description: tRNA-Lys
Rfam family: tRNA
About the family: Transfer RNA (tRNA) molecules are approximately 80 nucleotides in length. Their secondary structure includes four short double-helical elements and three loops (D, anti-codon, and T loops). Further hydrogen bonds mediate the characteristic L-shaped molecular structure. tRNAs have two regions of fundamental functional importance: the anti-codon, which is responsible for specific mRNA codon recognition, and the 3' end, to which the tRNAs corresponding amino acid is attached (by aminoacyl-tRNA synthetases). tRNAs cope with the degeneracy of the genetic code in two manners: having more than one tRNA (with a specific anti-codon) for a particular amino acid; and 'wobble' base-pairing, i.e. permitting non-standard base-pairing at the 3rd anti-codon position.
Source: RNAcentral